This 394-nucleotide unclassified non-coding RNA is filed under the name uncultured Basidiomycota. RNAcentral's name for it is "sequence contains ITS1". The stretch from base 1 to 105 matches the Rfam family "5.8S ribosomal RNA", at positions 50 to 154 of the family's 154-position model. The record is from RNAcentral. Lineage: Eukaryota; Fungi; Basidiomycota.
GAAAUGCGAUACGUAAUGUGAAUUGCAGAAUUCAGUGAAUCAUCGAAUCUUUGAACGCACCUUGCACUCUUUGGUAUUCCGAAGAGUAUGUCUGUUUGAGUGUCAUGAAACUCUCAACCCCCUUGUUUUGUAAUGGAACGAGUUGUGGGCUUGGAUUAUGGCUGCUGCCGGCUCCUCACGGAGUCGACUCGGCUGAAAUACACGAGCUACCCGAUGAAUUCUCUCUAAACCAGAAGAAACAAACGGCUUGACUCGGCGUAAUAACAUAUUUCGCUGAGGACGUUACAUUCUUCACAUUGGUAUUGAUGAAAAAGUGGUGCUUCUAAUGCGUCUGUUCAGUCAGACAACUUUAGCUUUAGACCUCAAAUCAGUCAGGACUACCCGCUGAACUUAA